This 254-nucleotide ribosomal RNA is filed under the name uncultured bacterium. RNAcentral describes it as "partial 16S ribosomal RNA". It matches the Rfam family "Bacterial small subunit ribosomal RNA", at positions 524 to 776 of the family's 1533-position model. The record is from RNAcentral.
UACGUAGGGACCAAGCGUUGUUCGGAUUUACUGGGCGUAAAGGGCGCGUAGGCGGCUUAACAAGUCACUUGUGAAAUCUCCGGGCUUAACUCGGAACGGCCAAGUGAAACUGUCAAGCUAGAGUGCAGAAGGGGCAAUCGGAAUUCUUGGUGUAGCGGUGAAAUGCGUAGAUAUCAAGAGGAACACCUGAGGUGAAGACGGGUUGCUGGGCUGACACGUGACGCUGAGGCGCGAAAGCCAGGGGAGCAAACGGG